Molecule: ribosomal RNA, 500 nt
Filed under: uncultured bacterium
Lineage: Bacteria
Description: partial 16S ribosomal RNA
Rfam family: Bacterial small subunit ribosomal RNA
Source: RNAcentral
AUUGAACGCUGGCGGCAUGCCUUACACAUGCAAGUCGAACGGUAACAGGGAGCUUGCUCCGCUGACGAGUGGCGAACGGGUGAGUAAUGUAUCGGAACGUACCUUUUAGUGGGGGAUAACGUAGCGAAAGUUACGCUAAUAUCGCAUAUUCUCUGAGGAGGAAAGCAGGGGACCUUCGGGCCUUGCGCUAAUAGAGCGGCUGAUAUCAGAUUAGCUAGUUGGUGAGGUAAAGGCUCACCAAGGCGACGAUCUGUAGCGGGUCUGAGAGGAUGAUCCGCCACACUGGAACUGAGACACGGUCCAGACUCCUACGGGAGGCAGCAGUGGGGAAUUUUGGACAAUGGGGGCAACCCUGAUCCAGCCAUGCCGCGUGAGUGAAGAAGGCCUUCGGGUUGUAAAGCUCUUUCGGCCGGGAAAAAAUCGCAUGGGCUAAUACCCUGUGUGGAUGAUGGUACCGGAAUAAGAAGCACCGGCUAACUACGUGCCAGCCGCCGCGGUAA